This 60-nucleotide ribosomal RNA is filed under the name Duganella sp. BK701. RNAcentral describes it as "partial 16S ribosomal RNA". The record is from RNAcentral. Lineage: Bacteria; Pseudomonadati; Pseudomonadota; Betaproteobacteria; Burkholderiales; Oxalobacteraceae.
UUAAACUAAAGAGUUUGAUCCUGGCUCAGAUUGAACGCUGGCGGCAUGCCUUACACAUGC